GACAGAGCCUCUUAGAAGACAGUUCCAGCCAAGGCCCAGGAUUUGAAAACCGCAGGAGGGUGGAGGAAAUUGAGGCAGCAAAGACAGAGACAAGUGACAAUGGGAUGAAAUCUCAAAGUGGCACAAGGAGCAUUCCACUCGAAUUAUGUAAGGAACUCUUUGCUGGUGUUGGAACAUUUUCAAACAUUCCGCAGAGAAAGAACCAAAGACAAAAUGAACGCAGAACAACGAUCCAUGGGUGGAAGUUACAGGGAGUGAAUUUCAGCUCACUAGAAGGAAAAGCUUUCAAAGUAAAAGCUGACAAUAGAAUGGCUGUUCUCAUGAAGCAGUGGGCUCCUUCACAUCUGAUAUAUUCCAGCAGGAUGAAAAAAGACAACAAUAGCACCUAAGAAGAUUCGAAAAGGGAACAAUGUUGCAGCAUCUUGUGCCAAUUAAAGAAAGACACAAGAAACGUGCCUGGCAGCAGUGGCAAGGUCAAAGGUGGCUAGGAAGGAGAGAAGACCGAGAGGCAAAUGCCUGUGUCAGCUAAGCUCGGACAAGUAACCUAACUUCCCUGGAGCCUCGUUUUCCUCGUGUGUCAAGUGGGAAGAAUUACGUCCGUCUCAAAGGUCACAGUGAAACUAACAGCUGGCACGUUCAGGGCACCUAGUUUUUGGUCGGCAUAUGGCGGUUGCUUAGCAAAGGGCAGUAGGGAGAUGAUGAAUCAGGUUGUUGGGUGAGCGUCCUUUUCCUGGCUUCACCUCUCCCGAUGGGAAGAUUGCACCUAUUAUCAACCUUCUGUUGGCCUGGGUGCCCUCAACUUCUCCAGGAGCCAACACUCCUCUGAAUAUCUGACACCUAAGCUCAUACUGUCUGGCACCCCAGUCCAAAUUGUUUACUCCCCCUGAAAAGGCUGCUGUCAUGUUCCUUCAUAUGCUGUUGGUACCCAACCCCUCUGCUGGAGCCCAGCCUUAUGGGCGCAUCCAUCCUUGGUUCCUGCCCAUCAGCCUUUCUCUGAAGGAUGCAGAGAGAACAGGGACUCAUGCAGUCUUACUCCUCCGCCUGUGAUUCCAGCGUACCCCAACCGAAGCGUAACUGGGCUUGCUGGUCCUCGUCCAUGGCAGACCACAAUGUGCCUGACCGGGACAAGUGGAGGACCACACACAGUAGAAGAGAGUCUGUUUUCCCGUGGACGAGUCCUCCUACUCUGAGAACACAACACGGUGGCCCUGAGGGAGACAGGAGUGGGUGAGCUCCUCUUAACAGCAAAUGUACUGCAAGUGGGUAGAAAUCAUUAAAUAUGAAAAUGAUAAGAACAUGACAACGUGCUUCGGAAGGAGCACACUCAACUCAUCCGCGGCUAUUCUGCUGCUGCGGUGGCCGGGCCACGCUCCCAGGGACGCUCCGUCAGACACCGAAGAGGACGAUGCUGAGAAGAAAGCUGAGUCACCGCGGGCAG
RNAcentral lists this long non-coding RNA (1438 nucleotides) under Equus caballus (horse). RNAcentral's name for it is "lncRNA (ENSECAG00000047535.1)". The record is from RNAcentral. Lineage: Eukaryota; Metazoa; Chordata; Mammalia; Perissodactyla; Equidae.